AGGGUGGAUGAGGAGGACGUCAUCUCCCACAUCCUGGCCGGGCUUGAAGAAGAGUUCGACCCUGUGGUCUCCGCCAUGUGCUCCCGAGUGGAGCCAGUCACCGUGCCAGAGCUGUACUCGCAGCUCGUCAGCUUCGAGA
RNAcentral lists this small nucleolar RNA (139 nucleotides) under Triticum aestivum (bread wheat). RNAcentral describes it as "Small nucleolar RNA Z247". It matches the Rfam family "Small nucleolar RNA Z247". Rfam says of the family: Z247 is a member of the C/D class of snoRNA which contain the C (UGAUGA) and D (CUGA) box motifs. Lineage: Eukaryota; Viridiplantae; Streptophyta; Magnoliopsida; Poales; Poaceae. The record is from Rfam by way of RNAcentral.